Molecule: long non-coding RNA, 1256 nt
Organism: Oncorhynchus masou masou (cherry salmon)
Lineage: Eukaryota; Metazoa; Chordata; Actinopteri; Salmoniformes; Salmonidae
Exons: 3
Source: RefSeq, a predicted model, not a curated record
AGCCAGUUUCAUCAUAGCGCCUGAUGGCUUUUGACGGCACUUGAGAACUUCCAAAGUUCUUAAUCUUCAUGUCUUAAAGUGAUGGACUGUCGUUUCUCUUCGAUAAUUUAAGCGGUUCUUGCCAUAAUAUGGAUUUGGUCCAAACCAGCAGGGAUACCUUCUACGUCAACACUAGGACCAGCUGGCACAACUGGGGACGGCUAUGGGAGAGUUUCUUCAGUCUCGAACAUACAUUGCCGUCAACUAGUGGAGGAUACUCUGCAAAUAGUUGCGCCAGCACAACAGCCCAUUCAGCAACCCACUCAGGUCAGUGAUACCCGUUUGUCCCUCCCCGGAUAAAUAUGACAGCACCCCAUCUAAAUGCUGUGGCUUCCUACUUCAGUGCUCCCUCUUCUUUAUGCACCAAAGGGGAGCCCCCACCACCUAGAGGUCCAAGAUUGCCACGGUUAUUUCUCUGACUGGGCGGGCUUUGGAAUGGGCCAUGGCUGCCUGGGAGAGAGGAUGAGCUAGAUUCAUAUGAGGGGUUCAUGGAUCUGUUCAAAUGCAUCUUCAAGCAUCCCCCGAAGGGCAUAGAGAGGGAGAACACUCUGGAUCAGAGCCUGAACCCAUGGAGGUAGGGGUCUCACACCUUCCGGCUGCUGAACGAUGCAGACGGGGGCUGUAUUGUGGUCAAGGAGGGCACCAGUUCCAGCCGUGUCCGGUGCUUGCUAAUCCGGGAUCCACAAGAGCAGAGUGAUGGUCACGUGAUCUUCCACCUCAUAGGACAGGAGCUGGUGGUUCCUGGUCCCCUAGCUGGACACCGAGGGGGGGGUCUGGCCUAUGCCGUCAGAUCUCUACUGGACUCCCGACUGUUGUGAGGGUCGGCUUCAGUACCUGGUGGACUGCUAGGGGUAUAGCCCAGAGGAGCGGUGUUGGAUUCCUGGUGGAGGACAUUCUGGAUCCCAACACCAUCCGUGAAUACCAUCUUUUACCGACUGGCCCGCUCCUCGUCCUCGGGGCCAUCCCUUUGGUCGGCGUCAUCCUGCGGCUGGAGCCGCGCGCCAGGGUACUGACUCGUCUGCUCCUCCCCUCCGGCGUCACCGGUAUACUAACCACCAGUCCUGGGAUCCAUCAUUACACAUACUUGUACGCCAUGAGGCACACCUGGACUCUGUUACCUCACUUAUUACCGCUCCUAUAUCUGGCACACCCUUAGGUUCCUUCCCCAGUCAGUAUUGAUCCUGUGUUUAUGCAAAGAUACUACUAUGUUGUCUGGU